GCAGGAUUUGGGGUGUGGGAUUUUGCUGCAGGGCUUUGGAUGCAGCACUUCGGGUGUGGGAUUUUGCUGCAGGGGUUUGGAUGCAGGGCUUUGGACGCAGGAUUUUGGGUGCAGGACUUUGACGGAGGAUUUUGGGUGUGGGAUUUUGCUGCAGGGCUUUGGUUGCAGGAUUUUGGAUGCAGGAUUUUGCAUGUGGGACUUCGCUGCAGGGCUUUGGUGCAGGACUUUGGCACCUGCUUUUGGCCCAGGAUUGCAGCGCAGGACUGCAACGCAGCGCUUUGGGUGCAGCGCUUCGGUGCAGAACGGGGUAUGGGAUUUGGGGUGCAGGGCUUUGCUGCAGGGUUUGAGUGUGGGAUUUCGGUGCAGGAUUUGGGCUGCAGGGCUUUGGUGCAGGAUUUGAGUGCAGGGCUUUGGGUGCAGGAGGUUGGCACAAGGCUUUGGCACAGGAUUUGGUGCAGGACUUUGAUUGCAGGAUUUUGGGUGCAGCACUUUGGUGCAGAACUGAGUAUGGGGCUUUGGGUGCAGGACUUCGGUGCAGGGCUUUGGGUGCACGACUUUGGGUGCAGGACUUUGAAUGCGGCACUUUGGUGCAGGACUUUGGGCGUGGGAUUUUGCAUCAGGGCUUUGGGUGCAGGACUUUGGUUGCAGGAUUUCGGUGCAGGAUUUGGGCUGCAGGGCUUUGGAUGCAGGACUUUGUUUGCAGGUCUUUGGUGCAGGGCUUUGGGUGCAGGGCUUUGUGUGCAGGACUUUGGUGCAGGACUUUGGUGCAUGAUUUUGAUGCAGGACUUUGGAUGCAGAAUUUUGGUGCAGGACUUUGUGUGCAGGACUUUGGCGCAGGGCUUUGGUGCAAUACUUUGUGUGCAGGACUUUGGUGCAUGAUUUCUAUGCAGGGCUUAGGAUGCAGGACUUCGGGUGCAGGAUUUUGGUGCAGGACUUUGGUGCAGGAUUUCGGUGCAGGAUUUCGGUGCAGGGCUUUGGUGCAGGAUUUCGGUGCAGGUCAGGAUUUCGAUGUGGGUCUUAGGAUGCAGGACUUUGUGUGCAGGACUUUGGUGCAGGACUUUGGUGCAGGACUUUGGUGCAGGGCUUAGGAUGCAGGACUUCGGGUGCAGGAUUUUGGUGCGGGUCUUAGGAUGCAGGACUUUGGUGCAGGGCUUUGGUGCAGGGCUUUGGUGCAGGAUUUCAGUGCAGGCUUUGGUGCAGGACUUUG
Molecule: long non-coding RNA, 1207 nt
Filed under: Gallus gallus (chicken)
Lineage: Eukaryota; Metazoa; Chordata; Aves; Galliformes; Phasianidae
Description: lncRNA (ENSGALG00010009698.1)
Source: RNAcentral